GGGGGCGUACCGGCUUCGACGUGAGCGGUCAGCGUCUCGUGAGACGAGCCGAGUUUGCUGGAGACUCGUUAAACACCGGCAGCUAAAAAUACACGCCAACGAUGAACUGGCUCUGGCUGCUUAAGUAAAAGCAGCCCAUCGGCCCGGGUAGCCUACGACCCGGGUACCGGUGUCAUCUUAGUAGGCUUACCCCCUGAGCCCU
Molecule: transfer-messenger RNA, 202 nt
Filed under: Actinomycetota bacterium
Lineage: Bacteria; Bacillati; Actinomycetota
Description: partial transfer-messenger RNA
Rfam family: transfer-messenger RNA
About the family: Bacterial tmRNA, also known as 10Sa RNA or SsrA, is named for its dual tRNA and mRNA-like properties. Its role is to liberate the mRNA from a stalled ribosome. To accomplish this part of the tmRNA is used as a reading frame that ends in a translation stop signal.
Source: RNAcentral